UUACAUGUCUUGUGAUUUAUAGUUUUAGACAUAUAUUAUCAAGACUAUCUUAAUAAUGGUUUCGGAAAACCCAUAUUAUGUCCAAACAUUGAAUCACCAUUUAGUUGUAGCUAGCAAUCUUCGAAUUAAUUGAAACUAAGACUAUCUCAAAGAUGGUUUCUUCAAAGUCAACCAUUUAAUUUGAUUGUAGUCACCUUAAGCUACCAAUUAGCUAUGAAAGUUUCAUUAUUUCGAGUCAAAUGGUACUUUACCAUUUCCUUGAGUAUAUAUCGUAUAUGCACUCAUUGUAGUCAUAAGGAUUUUCAUUCUUAUUUCUUUCGAAUUAAGAGGUGCAACUCUAUGACAUAGUCAUAAAGUUCAAAACCAUUCAACUGAGACGGUUUAUAAAUCCUUAUCGACUACCUUGGAGCUUGAGGUAUAGGAACUAGGUUGUUAUAUUUGUUGAUUACUUUCUUGUCUCUCAAAGAACCCAUUCUUUGAGUUCUAUCUCUCGUUCAUUUGCUUUUAGGCAAAUCACAUUGUAGAAUUACAAUGAACUACCCAACAAAACAACAUUUGUUAGUUGGUUUAUAGAAGUGAUAUCCAAAAGUUAUUUUAAGGAUAUUCUACAAGAUUGUUAUCAAACAAAUAUUGCUUGUUAGCAAACAACCCCAAAUCUUUAACAUGCUUAAGAUUUGUCUUUCUUUCCAACUACAUCUUAUGGAUUCAUGAAAAUAUUAGAAGAUCUUCUCAUUGACAAUCAUAUUGUUUUAGAAGUAUAUAUCCUAUAUAUGGGUAAUAGAUAACAUUUAACGAACUAAAUCUUAUUCUUGUUCGUUCUUCUCCUUAUGGAGAAAUACAUUAUCUUAUGAUGCUUAUUUCCUUGAUAUCUUUCAAGGAAACUUAUCUAAAGUGUUACCUUUCCUUGGAUCAAACCUAAGGAGGUAAAUACUUUAGAUGUCUUACUCAUCAACUUACAUUACUUGAAUUCUUUGAAACAUUUUGCAAAGUAUUCGGACUUGUGUUUAUUCAAAAUAAACUAUAGUUCAACCGAGAGUGAUCUUCGGUGAAUGUUAUCCAACAUGAGUAGUAUUAUGUUUGUGGACAAGUGCCACUAACAUUUAAGUGAAUUAACCUCAACAACUUUGUGAUUCUUUCUUCUUUCCAAAAGAAUAAAGAUUCGAACAUUUCGCCUCUAUACAAUUUUAACAAGAAGGUAUUGGAUCCGGAUCUUACGAUCCAAAGCAUCCAUCUUUCACCAACUCAUAACUUAUGUUUUUAGAGGAAUCACAACUUAGUUGGGAUUAGUCACUACCUUGCAACCUUUUGGGUUUUAAGCAUCAUUAUUUUCUAAACAGUUAACACUACCAUAUUAUCUCUACUAUAGAGAUAAUUAAUUAGAUUACCAUAAUCCAAUCAUUGAUUAAUAAAGAACAUUGUUUUGUCAAACAAAACAUUUAUCCAUUUCACAUAAUGACGGAAUUUAGUUCCUUAAAAUUGGAAUACAAAGACAAUCUAUGUUUUUCCAAUUUCUUUGGUAGU
This 1521-nucleotide long non-coding RNA is filed under the name Malus domestica (apple). Its description in RNAcentral is "long non-coding RNA (MDOM_LNC005666)". The record is from RNAcentral. Lineage: Eukaryota; Viridiplantae; Streptophyta; Magnoliopsida; Rosales; Rosaceae.